AUCAAUUCCGCCCUUGUCUAAUGAUUAACUUUUAUUUUCGUUAAGUAGUCUGUCAGUAGGUAUGACAAAAUGUGUUUGUCGACUGCGUUGACCCUCCUUUCUCAUUUAAAUUGUUGCUAUAGUUACUAAUUUUCCUCUGUUACGAAAAUACUCAAAUCGUCAUUCUCACUUGUCCAGCGUAAGAAAUAGCGUAUAAAAAUGCUAGGGGGGAUGUUAGGGAAAAAAACCACUGUCCACGGUAAUUAAUCAACCAUUAUUAGGUAUUUCACUUUAAAUCUAGCCACCGUAUAUAAUUCGUAAUUUUGAUAAGAAAGAAGAAAUUGUAAAAACACAUUUUGUUUUGUUGGUUGGAGAUGCUCAGUUAUUAUAUUAGACGUUGUAACGAGAGCGUAUAGAUUUAAAUUAAUUGAUUGAUUUAAACUUUUUUGAUUUUCCCGCAGAUAUAAGUAGAGUAGAAUUUUUAAUCUGUAAAAAAGUUGGUUUCCCAAACAAAUGUUUCCCAUGGUAAUAUCAAGAAUUUGAUCUUGAUGAUUGUAGGCAAUGUAAUGUGCUUCAAUGAGCUUGUGUAUAGUCUUACAUUAAUGAGCCUGAGAAAAGUUCGUAGCGUAAAAAAUGCUGAGCGAAUGGUUUUUUGAAUUGCGGAGUUUUGGAAAACCUCAGGAUUGGUUGAAAAGAAAACGUUAACCAAUAGGGAACAUAGAAAAGCGACCGGCCUAUGGAAACGAAUUGCGAUCGAUUAAUUUGGAUAAACGACUACAGUUGCCUCGCCUCGAUGCGGUGGACACCCAGCCUUAAACGUCAAGAAAAUGAAUAUGGAUGGUAAUGGCAUAAUACUCAAUUCCUUAAAGACUAAAGUAUGGAUAUUUAACACCUUACCAUCAUGCAAAUCCUUUUUUUCUUUGGAAUUAAAACUUUAUAUGCUUUAAAUGAAUUACCCCAAAAACCUAUUUCUAAUGACCUAUAGUUUCUAAAAAUUGGUUUCUUUUUGCAGUAGAGUAGGAUUUGAGUUCGACAGUGUAGCUUAAAGAUUUUUUUAGCAGGACAGGUAAAGGAUUCGGAAUUAUUAUGAGGCGACUAUUUAUUUUUUUUUAUUUAUUAUCCCCCUCUUGUUCUGGGCCCUCAACAGGCUUGCGCCCAAUUACAGAGUAACCCGCAUAAUGCUUUUUUAGAGGUGCCUCUGCAGAUUAUUAUUAUUAUGACUCAAUAAGUAUGUAAUACCCAGUGAAUGGAACAUUAACAGCAUUCGCGCUCUGAAAGCGGCCACGUAGGUACGUUAGUAGCGUAGCAUACAAUUAUUGCAAUUUAGAUAAAACAAUUAGCACUAGAAUUUGUUAUUUUAAAAUUGGGUUGGUCCUAUACUUAAGGGCUAAGAAAAUUAGAAAUGUGAGGGCCAAUAUUCUUCGCCGAAAAGUAGCCACGUGGUAAUAGAGAAAUGACACUUCGGCUUCAUCGGCGACAUCAUAAAACCUGCCAUUGGUAAAUGGCCAAUUGAAUAAUCGAGCACUCUGAUUUACUCAUGCAUGCUACCAAGGUGAUAUUCAGCGAAAUCAAGGAUCUAAAACCACUACGUGAAGUCUUCCAGAGGGCAAACCUGAAGAAAUUAAAAACGAGAUGUUAAAAGCUCCAUCCGCCUGAGUUCAGCGACUUGCUACGUUUUUCCAUCAAUUAAAAGGAUAUUCGAGGAUGUAAGCAGAGCUUUCUAGUCCGUCUCUCGACUUCUUAUGUGAUUCCUAAUUCAAAAUGGAGCUGAUCAAUUGAUCUGGAACAGAAUACACGAAUGGGUUAAAUGCUUCCACUUCCAUUGCUUUUGAUGGAGUUUUGAGGGUCAAGUCACUUCGAUUGUAAGCUUCUGGAAAUAAAGUGGUGACCCAUCGAGUGAUCACGAUGCCCCCUAUGGAGUCGAUCAACGCCAUUUCGGUUGCCUAAAACUUGUGUAAAUCAACAAGUUCGAACGAAUGGCUUUUUCUUCGUGUGGUAUUAGCUUAACAACAUCAAGAGUCAUCCUCUCCUAUGUGGAAGGUUACAGCGAAAGCGUCAGUCAGGAAACCGCCUCCAUUUGUAGAAAACUGCUCAACUUAAAUAAUACAGCCACUUUCAUCUUACCUCCUCACUCCUCAGUACAAGGGCUGACUGCAUUGGGGGAUACACAAUAUCAGGUUAGCAAAGUGCAAGGCGAUAGGGAAUACGAAAUGUGUAAAAGAUCCCAUAAGGCCAUAAAAUAUUGAGUAUCAAGUAUCCAAGUAUCCAGUAUCAGACGCUUAUAAGAGAUUUUAAGAGAGAUUUGAAAAAAGUGAUUCAAAAAAGUUUACAAGUGAUAGAAUUCAAAAAAGUGAUUAAAAAAUGAUUCA
Molecule: long non-coding RNA, 2348 nt
Organism: Photinus pyralis (common eastern firefly)
Lineage: Eukaryota; Metazoa; Arthropoda; Insecta; Coleoptera; Lampyridae
Exons: 4
Source: RefSeq, a predicted model, not a curated record